RNAcentral lists this ribosomal RNA (252 nucleotides) under uncultured bacterium. Its description in RNAcentral is "partial 16S ribosomal RNA". It matches the Rfam family "Bacterial small subunit ribosomal RNA", at positions 15 to 263 of the family's 1533-position model. The record is from RNAcentral.
GAUCAUGACUCAGGAUGAACGCUAGCUACAGGCUUAACACAUGCAAGUCGAGGGGCAUCAGGGUGUAGCAAUACGCCGCUGGCGACCGGCGCACGGGUGAGUAACACGUAUCCAACCUGCCCUUUACUCGGGGAUAGCCUUUCGAAAGAAAGAUUAAUACCCGAUGGUAUAACAUGACCUCCUGGUUUUGUUAUUAAAGAAUUUCGGUAGAGGAUGGGGAUGCGUUCCAUUAGGCAGUUGGCGGGGUAACGG